This 253-nucleotide ribosomal RNA is filed under the name uncultured bacterium. Its description in RNAcentral is "partial 16S ribosomal RNA". It matches the Rfam family "Bacterial small subunit ribosomal RNA", at positions 524 to 776 of the family's 1533-position model. The record is from RNAcentral.
UACGGAGGGUGCAAGCGUUAUCCGGAUUUACUGGGUUUAAAGGGUGCGUAGGUGGGUAGGUAAGUCAGUGGUGAAAUCUUCGAGCUUAACUCGGAAACUGCCAUUGAUACUAUCUGUCUUGAAUACUUUGGAGGUAAGCGGAAUAUGUCAUGUAGCGGUGAAAUGCUUAGAUAUGACAUAGAACACCAAUUGCGAAGGCAGCUUACUACACAGUCAUUGACACUGAGGCACGAAAGCGUGGGGAGCAAACAGG